Molecule: ribosomal RNA, 822 nt
Filed under: Coprinopsis gonophylla
Lineage: Eukaryota; Fungi; Basidiomycota; Agaricomycetes; Agaricales; Psathyrellaceae
Description: eukaryotic LSU rRNA
Rfam family: Eukaryotic large subunit ribosomal RNA
Source: RNAcentral
GAUUCCCCUAGUAACUGCGAGUGAAGCGGGAAAAGCUCAAAUUUAAAAUCUGGUAGUCUUUGGCUGCCCGAGUUGUAAUCUAGAGAAGUGUUACCCGUGCUGGACCGUGUACAAGUCUCCUGGAAUGGAGCGUCAUAGAGGGUGAGAAUCCCGUCUUUGACACGGACUCCCAGUGCUUUUGUGGUGCGCUCUCAACGAGUCGAGUUGUUUGGGAAUGCAGCUCAAAAUGGGUGGUGAAUUCCAUCUAAAGCUAAAUAUUGGCGAGAGACCGAUAGCGAACAAGUACCGUGAGGGAAAGAUGAAAAGAACUUUGGAAAGAGAGUUAAACAGUACGUGAAAUUGUUGAAAGGGAAACGCUUGAAGUCAGUCGCGUUGUCCGGAAAUCAACCUUGGUUCUCCUGGGUGUACUUUCCGGUUAACGGGCCAGCAUCAGUUUCGAUCGGUGGAAAAAGUCCAAGGGAAUGUGGCAUCUUCGGAUGUGUUAUAGCCCUUGGUCGUAUGCACUGGUUGGGACUGAGGAAUUCAGCACGCCGCAAGGCCGGGGUUCGCCCACGUACGUGCUUAGGAUGCUGGCAUAAUGGCUUUAAUCGACCCGUCUUGAAACACGGACCAAGGAGUCUAACAUGCUUGCGAGUGUUUGGGUGGAAAACCCGAGCGCGAAAUUAACGUGAAAGUCAAGAUCUCUGUCGCGGAGAGCAUUGACGCCCAGACCAGAAGUUUACGGACGGUUCUGCGGUAAAGCACGUAUGUUGGGACCCGAAAGAUGGUGAACUAUGCCUGAAUAGGGUGAAGCCAGAGGAAACUCUGGUGGAGGCUCGUAGC